Zootoca vivipara (common lizard) is the source of this 4599-nucleotide non-coding RNA. NCBI's taxonomy places the organism in Eukaryota, Metazoa, Chordata, Lepidosauria, Squamata, Lacertidae. The record is from RefSeq and is a predicted model, not a curated record.
AUUGCAGUGACACCAGACUAAACACUUAUCAUUGUGGCUGAAGGCAUUGCCUGUAACUGGGAAGGAGAAAAUGACUGUCAACUGACCAGGGAAAAAAAAGACGACCUGGUCUGCUCCUGUGCCUUUACAAGCAUCUUGGCAUGAUGUAGCGGAUGUGUUUUCCAUGGCAUGGAAUACGUUUGGUUCUCAUGAGAACACGAGAAGAGCCCUGUUGGAGUGGUCCAACAAGUCCAUCAAGAUCAACCUCCUCUCUCCCAUGGCGGUCAGUCAGCUGCUUCUCCAGGAAACCCACAGGAAGGAUAUAAAGACCAUAGCCCUCUGUGGCAACUGGUAUUCAGAGAAGCAUGUUGCUCCUUCUGAUCCUGCACGUAGCAUAUAACUCUUAUGUUGAGUUCACCCAGUUGCCUUUUAAAGCUUCCUAAAUUGGGGGCCAUCAACACACCUUGUGGCAGUGGAUUCCAAAGUUUAAAUAUACAGGGAGGAAUUCAAUAUCACAUGCUUGUUCCAUAAGGGCAAGCAUUUCGACUUGACAGAUAGACCCUCUCCUUCCCUAUGCACUAUCCUGAGGGUUCUCCUGAACCCCUCUCUGAACUAACUGGGGUGGCAUGGAGAGAGAGGAGAAGGGCGAAAGCCCACCACACAAUCAGAAUCCCACCUUUUGCCUGCUCUUAAUCUGCCAAUGUGCACCUCCAAGGAAUGGUCCCCAAUCCAGCAUGAUGCUAGGGUUGAUAGUACUGAAAAUCAAGGAGAGGUCCAGAAAAUCAACAGCUACACUCUCACUUGAGCAAUAACUGUCCAACAGGGCAGCCAAAGUUGCUUCAGUCCCCAAUCCGCAUCCGAUUCAAGAUUGGUAGUGGCCUGGGUCAGUAGUGAGGUACCUGUAGCCUGGGGAUCAUUGGUCUUGCUGGCAGGGGCAGUUGAAUAUUGCAGUCUAACAACAUCUGGAGGGACACAUGUUCCCUGUCACUGGUCUAGGCAAUCUGUUUCAUCUUGGAAUUGAGCAGACAGGCAUCUUCUGCUCAAGUACCAUGCUCCUCAAAAGGAUAUUUGUCACCGACUGUUAAGGUCCAGAAAGAGUUUCUUCUUCAUCAUGAACACUUCCCUCAAUGUGACUGGGACCAUGUUCUUCUUCAAGAAGGCUGAUCGCCGAAGAAUUGAUGCUUUUGAAUUAUGGUGCUGGAGGAGACUCUUGAGAGUCCCAUGGACUUCAAGAAGAGCAAACCUAUCCAUUCUUAAGGAAAUCAGCCCUGAGUGCUCACUGGAAGGACAGAUCCUGAAGCUGAGGCUCCAAUACAUUGGCCACCUCAUGAGAAGAGAAGACUCCCUAGAAAAGGCCCUGAUGUUGGGAACGAUUGAGGGCACAAGGAGAAGGGGACGACAGAGGACGAGGUGGUUAGACAGUGUUCUCGAAGCUAUGAACAUGAGUCUGACUAAACUGCGGGAGGCAGUGGAAGACAGGAGUGCCUGGCGUGUUCUGGUCCAUGGGGUCACGAAGAGUCGGACACGACUAAACGACUAAACAACAACAACCCUCCCAAGAAGACAUAAUAAGGCAGAAUGGGUAGACGUGGAGCAAAUAAUGUUAACCCAAACACCAUUGCAUGCAUGAACAAGAUGGUUGGUCGGCUAGCUUGGGGGUAUUAUGAUUCUUUUAGUAUUAGAAUUUAGCUACUAUUAUUUUACAGUUCAGUCAGGUAUUCAACAAAGUGGCUGUCAAAGACAGUUUUGAUAUCCUUUAUAGACAUCAAGGAUUUAGCAAAUUCUGUGAGCCAGUGAGGGCUUGCAACCAAUUCACACAUUUAUUUUUGAGGUAGUUAUGUUCUCACAUGUGGGGACUUUUUACGGCCUCAUUUUUACAUGUUGAGCAGCUUGUGUGCGGGAGCCCUAUCCUAAUUUGGGGGCAGGGAAGAGAGGAAAAGUACAAAACCAGGGAAAAUGUUUGAAAAUGAGUCCUUUGUUUUUUCAGCCACCUCAUGCUAACGGUUCUUCAUGUGAAAAUUAGGUGUCAGACUUGUACCACAAGAACUUUCCCCCCUCAGAUAUUAGCGUGCAAAUUUGGCAAUAUAGCAGAGAAUUAUAAUGGGGCAGAAACUAUUGGUGUGAAAAAAUUGUUGUAAGUAUUACUGUAAUAAGUGCAAAAUGCUUAGAGCUUCUCAGUCGAAACAGAAUUAAGUGCAAAGCUUGAUAAUUCCUUCUUAUUUAAAAGUGUUAUGAAUGCUUCUUACAGUCUUCCUUUCUCUUCCCAAGUAAGGCACAAUAUAAUGAAUAUAUUUGCUCACUGUGUAUACAAAAUGGCCCUCCUCAUUAGAGAUGGGGGGCGCUUUCGAUUUGGUUUGCAUUUUAACUUGCUCUUCAACACAACAACGCACAAAGCGAAUGUUUCAAAAUUCACACUUUCCCAAAUUUCGUGAUGCAGUUUGCCGAUCGCAAUGUGUGUACAAAAAUGCACCUGUUAGGACAAACUGUGCAGAAAAAUUAGGAAAAUAACAUUACAAAAAUAUUGGGGAAAAUUUAUUGCAAAAUGUGUACUGAUAUGCUGGUGAAUUUUUGUGAGGAUUUUUUUUAAAAAAAUCACAAACUGAUAUGCAAACUGGAUUUAAGAUUGAAAAACCCCCUGAAGCUAACAGAUUCAUUCAUCCCUAUAGUUAACUAAUUAUGGAUCAGUUAAAAAUGUAAAGACAGGCAUGUUCGUGUGCCUCAGAGAUUAUAGGCCCACAGCACUUGGUCAGAAACAAUUUUGUGCUACCUUUCUGCCUUUGUGGGUGUUGUCUCCUUGUCCAAUAUGAUUUGUAUGAUUGCAGGUUUGGGACUGAAGCAACCUUGGCUGCCCUGCUGGGCAAUUUGCCUACAUCACAAACUAACAGGGUACAUUGGAUGGAUGGGAAGAAAGGUGGGGCCACAAUGGCAGGCCCACCCCAACCUUUGUGUAAAUUCUGCAUAGGGCCCAUGUGCACAUAACACUCUGUGUUUAGGCUCUGAAUGGAAGUCUGGAUCAAUGCCCAGAGGUUAGGAGGGGGGAACUAUAGCUGUGAUCCUGUUCCUCCUUCCACGAAUUCAACACUGCCUGUUAAUUUUCUGAACAUGAUUUCUGUGGCUACACGUGGCGGUGUGAGUUCUCAGAAAAGAAUGCUCCACAAGAUUGUGGAGCCAAAAAGUGGUUGGUCACUGUUACCACCUGAACUGGGUCUAAUUAAACAUUUCCAACAUUUCUAAAUAAAAACCCCUUUCCUCUUUAACUGUGAGUCCUUGUAAACAUGAAGGUUCUCAGAGUUGUGAUAGGCAUCAUUUUGAUUUCAUAGGAGUCCUCCUUUAUUUACCUAGCCUGCUCUCAGCAUUUCCUCUCCCUCCGCUUGGGAAAGCUUUAACAGAGCUCUUUGCUCCCACACUGCCACAGAGAUUUGUUUCAGAAACCUUUGAAAGAGAUUUUUAAAGACCCUUGUCAUGGGAACAGCUGUCAGCCCACACAGCUGACUUUUAAUAUUUGAAGCUUUUUUAAAAUGUUUAAUUUGCUUCUACAGGUUUUGAGCCGAUUUUAUUGUUGCUGAGUUAAAAAAAAAAAUCUGUUGUUUUAAUUAACCCCUGCCACCCAAGCAACUGAAAAGCACACCAGCAUCUCGUGAUGUUUCUCAAGCCUGAGCUUCAGAAAUGAGUAUAUUUGUAUGGCCUGAGCCCAUAAACCGAGUCACACAAGCAUUUAUUUAUGCAUUUGAUCGCAUUUAUAGAUCGCACCUCACAAAAUACCUCACAGCAAUUUCACAGCGAAAAUAUCAACAAAAAGAACAAUUAAAAAAACAAUCCCAUAUGUGAAUACAAUUUCAACAAUUCCAUGUGGGUGAAAAAUUAAAAGCCACUUCAUAUGUAAAACCUAUUCCAAAUCCAAUAGAGACACAGGUGGGGAUAAAGAUUUCUACUUAAAAGGCUUGUUGAAAAAGGAGAAAUCUUUCAAUGGGUGCUGAACAGGUGACAGAGAUGGAGCCUGUCUGGGAUGGGAUGGGAUGGGGAGGAGUUCUGAAGGGUAGAUGCUAUUUCAAGUGGUGUUUGUUAUAAAGCAGGAUGAUAAAGCAGGUUAUAAUGUAAGAUGAAGAACUUUAUUUAAACAAACUUGCAUUCGUCUCUUUCCCUGCUGUUUGCACUGUUUGUGCGGAGUCAUUUCUGGGUAGCUAUUCCCUUAAUCUGUGCCUUCCCUUGGUGGUCACUAAAUUUCUAUCUCUGACUGUUGUCCUCAUUCUUCUACAUAGUUCCACAUAAAUACAGGAGCCAGGUUCAGUUCCUAACAUCUCCCAUUAAGAAGGAAUGGGAACGAUAUCUCUGUGUUAUCCCAGCAAGUGGCCACCAUCCAAAGAAAACAAUGCUCAACUCCAUGUAAAGCAUUUCAAUAGGUCAAUAAUGUUGGGUUCUGUUCAAUUCCAUGUAUGGGAAUGUGGCUGUGCAGACCACAGGUAAAAUCUUCUACAAAUCUCUGGAAGAUUAGGAUCAAUGGCCUCUCCUAUCUCUCCUGUACACAGCAGCAUCCCACACAUAAGCAUGGUGGUGGACCAUAGAGGAUAUGCCCUUCGACAGAAAGGAACUCUUUAAUGAAGAAAAGAAACCUGACAUGGA